CAGCCCUCCAGAGGAGCAUGCUGGAGGUAAAUUGGUAGAAAAGGUGUGUAUCUGCAGACUUGGGAGCAGUGUCUGCCUUCCUGUGGGGUGCAUGGGGGAGCUCAGGCCAUAAAAUGGGUUACCCUGUACUUUGCUGGAGUGACAGGUUUGGAUGUGCCCUUGUUCUGUAUGCAGCGGCUGUUUCUGUUGGAGCACCGUGCCUGGCUGCUGGAAGAGAAGACAUCUCGAGCAUCUGAUGAAGUGAACUUCAGCUCAUGAAAGCUUGUGCUAUUUAUCUACUUAGUCUAUAAGGUGCAAAUCUUCCCUCCUUUCUACUUGACAUCAGACCAGCACACUACUAUGUCUCAAGGCCAACAAGCAGCACCUGACUUUUACUGGGUAUCUGACAGAAGAGUUGGAGCAGAGGAAAUUGGGAGAUGUCCGUGAACUUCUCUGCUCGAUCCUGCCUGUGCGUGGGGUGGGGGGCACUUGUUUUGGGCUUCUGAACAUUUCCCGUUGCCACCUGUCUUCCGGCUGCUUCCCUUUGACACAGCUGGAUGUGUCACUACCGCUGUCACCUUUGCUCCAGCUGUCUGGUUUAUCAGCUCAUUACCCUAAUGCUCAGUUAAGUGUCUCUUUACAUUAAUUGAUAUCUUGCCUUUGAAUCUGUUUCAUACGUUUGUAAUGUGUGAAUAAACCUGGACCUUUUGUCGAGUCAUUCCAAUCUACAGACACAGCUGUUCUUCUGUAUUUGUAUCUCUUGCACAGCUGCCCUUGGUCUUCAGUCCUUGUUUUCCUUAAUGAAGCUAUCUUUACUUGUCAAAUGAAAAGCAUAGAGAGGUAUAAAUACAUGCUUUCCCCUAAAUUAAUUUAAACCACUUUGGAACAAGCCCUGUGUGUCACUGUGGGUAGCAAUGGAAACCCCAGCAGUAGUUGGAACCAAAUGCUAUUGGGUUCCAUAAUAGACCCAUGAAUUUCAGGGCCUGAUGUGAUCCUUCUGAUAACUUAGUCCAGCCUCCUGGCCAGAGAAUUUCAGUUGCUGAUUUCUGCAGCAAAUCUUUAACUUCUGGCUGCGUUAGAGCAGGUUUGAAGAAAAAAAUGUACUCGUGAUUUAAAGACUUCCAACGGAUGGGCAGUCCACCACAUGGCUGUUGAGUUACUUCUAUGGCCGGUUACUCUCGCUGUUAGGAAUUUGUCAUAAGGAAGAGUUUUUAGAAGAUGUGGUGUCCUUGUGUAGCUUGGUGGCAUGUCUUCAUGAUUGUACUGAGACCGGAUCUUGAUUCAUUUUUUGUCAUCGUUAAGGCUACCAGCAGGCGUCUAUUUGGCCUUUCAUUAACAAAACCCAAAUUACAAAGAUGACAUUUUAUUUAGCCUCUGUUUUUUUGGGUGGCAUUUUAUUUCGUUUAAUUUCAUGCAGCUUUCUAUGGCUCAGCGUCUAGAUGUUGAAAUGAUUUAAGGGAACUUCACUGCAGGAAUCCUUAGAGCAAAGGCAGAAGUUAGUCACAGAAUGUGUUUUAGAAAUACAAGGUUUGCCUUUUACUUUCCAAGCGCAAUAAAAUUUAAAAAAAUGAGGACUGCAAAACUCUGGAUAGAGGCUGCCUAGCAAGCACUUUUGUUCUUUUCUCAUCUUAAGAUUUCCAGGCUUUGUAGCUCACAA
Long non-coding RNA from Alligator mississippiensis (American alligator), 1636 nucleotides. RefSeq lists it as uncharacterized. The transcript has 4 exons. The record is from RefSeq and is a predicted model, not a curated record. Lineage: Eukaryota; Metazoa; Chordata; Crocodylia; Alligatoridae.